Molecule: transfer RNA, 75 nt
Filed under: Clostridium beijerinckii
Lineage: Bacteria; Bacillati; Bacillota; Clostridia; Eubacteriales; Clostridiaceae
Also listed under: 1 other name
Description: tRNA-Asn
Rfam family: tRNA
About the family: Transfer RNA (tRNA) molecules are approximately 80 nucleotides in length. Their secondary structure includes four short double-helical elements and three loops (D, anti-codon, and T loops). Further hydrogen bonds mediate the characteristic L-shaped molecular structure. tRNAs have two regions of fundamental functional importance: the anti-codon, which is responsible for specific mRNA codon recognition, and the 3' end, to which the tRNAs corresponding amino acid is attached (by aminoacyl-tRNA synthetases). tRNAs cope with the degeneracy of the genetic code in two manners: having more than one tRNA (with a specific anti-codon) for a particular amino acid; and 'wobble' base-pairing, i.e. permitting non-standard base-pairing at the 3rd anti-codon position.
Source: RNAcentral
UCCGUGAUAGCUCAAUGGUGGAGCACUCGGCUGUUAACCGAUAGGCUGGAGGUUCAAGUCCUCUUCGCGGAGCCA